Small nucleolar RNA from Amaranthus tricolor (Joseph's coat), 89 nucleotides. RefSeq annotates it as small nucleolar RNA Z159/U59. NCBI's taxonomy places the organism in Eukaryota, Viridiplantae, Streptophyta, Magnoliopsida, Caryophyllales, Amaranthaceae. The record is from RefSeq and is a predicted model, not a curated record. The transcript has a single exon.
GCCUCUUAAUGAUGAUCAAAACAUAACUUUCGUUCUUCCGAGAUGUUCCUAUGCGGAAAUACUUUUUGGAGACCUGAACUGAAAGAGGC